Molecule: ribosomal RNA, 484 nt
Filed under: uncultured bacterium
Lineage: Bacteria
Description: partial 16S ribosomal RNA
Rfam family: Bacterial small subunit ribosomal RNA
Source: RNAcentral
AUUGAACGCUGGCGGAAUGCUUUACACAUGCAAGUCGAGCGGCAGCGCGGCCUUCGGGCUGGCGGCGAGCGGCGAACGGGUGAGUAAUGCAUCGGAACAUGCCCAGUCGUGGGGGAUAACACUUCGAAAGAAGUGCUAAUACCGCAUACGUCCUGAGGGGGAAAGCGGGGGAUCGCAAGACCUCGCGCGAUUGGAGUGGCCGAUGUCAGAUUAGCUAGUUGGUGGGGUAAAGGCCUACCAAGGCGACGAUCUGUAGCUGGUCUGAGAGGAUGAUCAGCCACACUGGGACUGAGACACGGCCCAGACUCCGACGGGCGGCAGCAGUGGGGAAUUUUGGAAAAUGGGGGCAACCCUGAUCCAGCCAUUCCGCGUGAGUGAAGAAGGCCUUCGGGUUGUAAAGCUCUUUCGGCAGGAACGAAACGGUGGGCUCUAACAUAGUCCGCUAAUGACGGUACCUGAAGAAGAAGCACCGGCUAACUACGUG